RNAcentral lists this ribosomal RNA (852 nucleotides) under uncultured Bacteroidota bacterium. RNAcentral describes it as "bacterial SSU rRNA". It matches the Rfam family "Bacterial small subunit ribosomal RNA", at positions 8 to 854 of the family's 1533-position model. Lineage: Bacteria; Pseudomonadati; Bacteroidota. The record is from RNAcentral.
AGAGUUUGAUCAUGGCUCAGGAUGAACGCUAGCGGCAGGCUUAACACAUGCAAGUCGAGGGGCAGCAUAAUGGAUAGCAAUAUCUAUGGUGGCGACCGGCGCACGGGUGCGUAACGCGUAUGCAACCUACCUUUAACAGGGGGAUAACACUGAGAAAUUGGUACUAAUACCCCAUAAUAUCAUAGAAGGCAUCUUUUAUGGUUGAAAAUUCCGAUGGUUAGAGAUGGGCAUGCGUUGUAUUAGCUAGUUGGUGGGGUAACGGCUCACCAAGGCGACGAUACAUAGGGGGACUGAGAGGUUAACCCCCCACACUGGUACUGAGACACGGACCAGACUCCUACGGGAGGCAGCAGUGAGGAAUAUUGGUCAAUGGACGCAAGUCUGAACCAGCCAUGCCGCGUGCAGGAUGACGGCUCUAUGAGUUGUAAACUGCUUUUGUACGAGGGUAAACGCAGAUACGUGUAUCUGUCUGAAAGUAUCGUACGAAUAAGGAUCGGCUAACUCCGUGCCAGCAGCCGCGGUAAUACGGAGGAUUCAAGCGUUAUCCGGAUUUAUUGGGUUUAAAGGGUGCGUAGGCGGUUUGAUAAGUUAGAGGUGAAAUUUCGGGGCUCAACCCUGAACGUGCCUCUAAUACUGUUGAGCUAGAGAGUAGUUGCGGUAGGCGGAAUGUAUGGUGUAGCGGUGAAAUGCUUAGAGAUCAUACAGAACACCGAUUGCGAAGGCAGCUUACCAAACUAUAUCUGACGUUGAGGCACGAAAGCGUGGGGAGCAAACAGGAUUAGAUACCCUGGUAGUCCACGCAGUAAACGAUGAUAACUCGUUGUCGGCGAUACACAGUCGGUGACUAAGCGA